GAUGAACGCUGGCGGCGUGCCUAAUACAUGCAGGUCGAGCGAACAGACGAGGAGCUUGCUCCUUUGACGUUAGCGGCGGACGGGUGAGUAACACGUGGGUAACCUACCUAUAAGACUGGGAUAACUUCGGGAAACCGGAGCUAAUACCGGAUAAUAUUUCGAACCGCAUGGUUCGAUAGUGAAAGAUGGCUUUGCUAUCACUUAUAGAUGGACCUGCGCCGUAUUAGCUAGUUGGUAAGGUAACGGCUUACCAAGGCAACGAUACGUAGCCGACCUGAGAGGGUGAUCGGCCACACUGGAACUGAGACACGGUCCAGACUCCUACGGGAGGCAGCAGUAGGGAAUCUUCCGCAAUGGGCGAAAGCCUGACGGAGCAACGCCGCGUGAGUGAUGAAGGUCUUCGGAUCGUAAAACUCUGUUAUUAGGGAAGAACAAACGUGUAAGUAACUGUGCACGUCUUGACGGUACCUAAUCAGAAAGCCGCGGCUAACUACGU
RNAcentral lists this ribosomal RNA (496 nucleotides) under uncultured bacterium. RNAcentral's name for it is "partial 16S ribosomal RNA". It matches the Rfam family "Bacterial small subunit ribosomal RNA", at positions 28 to 506 of the family's 1533-position model. The record is from RNAcentral.